This is a long non-coding RNA of Oncorhynchus keta (chum salmon), 626 nucleotides long. RefSeq lists it as uncharacterized. NCBI's taxonomy places the organism in Eukaryota, Metazoa, Chordata, Actinopteri, Salmoniformes, Salmonidae. The record is from RefSeq and is a predicted model, not a curated record. The transcript has 3 exons.
UUGAUUAUAAAAAACAUUUGACAUCUUUCUACUCACUUUACGGAUACUAUUUGGAAUUUUCGUCUGCGAUGUCGUGACCGCUCGAGCCUGUGGAUUUCUGAACAUAACGUGCCAAACAAAUGGAGUGAGGACAAACCCAGCCCUCCUCUCUCCUUCCACACUGAGUCCAAACCUACAGUCACUGGGUCCUGAUUGUGACAGUGGAGCCCAGUUUGCACUGCAGGAUCCAGAGAUGGCAUCAGUGAAGCUGGAAGACUGCAGUCAAACACUGGAGCUGAAUGUCAACAUUAAAGAUGAAGAAGAGGAGGAGGAGAUUGGGAAAUCUGUUAAUCAUGGCACCAUGAUCUUGUAGUGGAUGCGAGCUUUGAUUGGAAACCUGUGCAAUGUACCGAAAGGUUGCAAGAUCGAAUCCCCGAGCUGCCAAGGUACAAAUCUGUCGUCCUGCCCCUGAACAGGCAGUUAGCCUCCCGGGGAACAGUGGAUUGUCAUUGAAAAUAUGAAUUUGUUCUUCACUGACUUGCCUAGUUAAAUAAAGGUAUAAAAAAAAUACAAAAAAUGUCAAAUGAGCUGAGGCUCACUAGAGUUAACAAUUAUUCGUGGGAACUGCAAACUACUUACCCUAAACA